RNAcentral lists this ribosomal RNA (497 nucleotides) under uncultured bacterium. RNAcentral's name for it is "partial 16S ribosomal RNA". It matches the Rfam family "Bacterial small subunit ribosomal RNA", at positions 28 to 507 of the family's 1533-position model. The record is from RNAcentral.
GAUGAACGCUGGCGGCGUGCCUAAUACAUGCAAGUCGAGCGAACGGAUGAGAAGCUUGCUUCUCCGAUGUUAGCGGCGGACGGGUGAGUAACACGUGGAUAACCUACCUAUAAGACUGGGAUAACUUCGGGAAACCGGAGCUAAUACCGGAUAAUAUUUUGAACCGCAUGGUUCAAAAGUGAAAGACGGUCUUGCUGUCACUUAUAGAUGGAUCCGCGCUGCAUUAGCUAGUUGGUAAGGUAACGGCUUACCAAGGCAACGAUGCAUAGCCGACCUGAGAGGGUGAUCGGCCACACUGGAACUGAGACACGGUCCAGACUCCUACGGGAGGCAGCAGUAGGGAAUCUUCCGCAAUGGGCGAAAGCCUGACGGAGCAACGCCGCGUGAGUGAUGAUGGUCUUCGGAUCGUAAAACUCUGUUAUUAGGGAAGAACAUAUGUGUAAGUAACUGUGCACAUCUUGACGGUACCAAAUCAGAAAGCCACGGCUAACUACGUG